Molecule: ribosomal RNA, 237 nt
Filed under: uncultured Actinomycetales bacterium
Lineage: Bacteria; Bacillati; Actinomycetota; Actinomycetes; Actinomycetales
Description: partial 16S ribosomal RNA
Rfam family: Bacterial small subunit ribosomal RNA
Source: RNAcentral
UGGCGAACGGGUGAGUAACACGUGAGUAACCUGCCCUUGACUUUGGGAUAACUUCAGGAAACUGGGGCUAAUACCGGAUAGGAGCUCCUGCUGCAUGGUGGGGGUUGGAAAGUUUCGGCGGUUGGGGAUGGACUCGCGGCUUAUCAGCUUGUUGGUGGGGUGAUGGCCUACCAAGGCGACGACGGGUAGCCGGCCUGAGAGGGUGAUCGGCCACAUUGGGACUGAGAUACGGCCCAG